AAAUAAAUUUUUUAUGGUUUUUAGAAUUUAUUUUAAGUUUAUUUUACAUAUAAAUUUUAGUGUUAUUUAUUAAUUAUUUAAAUAAUAUUUAAUUUUAGGAGUAGUAAUUAAUUUUAAAAAUUUAAGAAAUUAAGAUUUAGUGAUACAAUAAUUAAUAACUAAUUUUGUGCCAGCAGUUGCGGUUAUACAAAGAUUAAUUUAAAUUUUUUUUUUAGUGUUUAAUUAAUAAUUUAUUAUGAAAUAAUUUAAAAUUUAAAUUAUAAGGUGAAAUUUUAAUUUAAUAUAAAAUUAUUUAAUAUUUAUGAUUUAGUAAAUUUUAUUAAAAACUAGGAUUAGAUACCCUAUUAUUAAAAAUUUAAAUUAAUAAUACUUAAAUAGUAGAUAAUUAUUUAUUAAAACUUAAAUAAUUUGGCGGUAUUUUAGUUUAUUUAGAGGAAUCUGUUUAAUAAUUGAUAUUCCACGAAUAAAUUUACUUAAUUUAUUAUUUUGUAUAUCGUUGUUAUAAAAAUAUUUUUUAAUAAUAUUAAUAUUUAAAAAUUUUAAUUUUAAAUUAAAUCAGAUCAAGAUGCAGAUUAUAAUUAAGAAUAUAAUGGAUUACAAUAAAUUUAUUUAAAAAGUUGGAUUUUAAUUUGGAAUGGUUAAAUGAAAUUGGAUUUAAAUGUAAUUUUAUAUAAAUUUUUAAAAUGAUUUAAUAUUAAAGUAUGUACAUAUUGCCCGUCGCUUUCAUUUAUAAGUUGAAAUAAGUCGUAACAAAGUAGAGGUACUGGAAAGUGUUUCUAGAAAGAU
RNAcentral lists this non-coding RNA (786 nucleotides) under Protambulyx strigilis. Lineage: Eukaryota; Metazoa; Arthropoda; Insecta; Lepidoptera; Sphingidae. The record is from RNAcentral.